This 1372-nucleotide ribosomal RNA is filed under the name uncultured bacterium. RNAcentral describes it as "bacterial SSU rRNA". It matches the Rfam family "Bacterial small subunit ribosomal RNA", at positions 28 to 1381 of the family's 1533-position model. The record is from RNAcentral.
GAUGAACGCUGGCGGCGUGCCUAAUACAUGCAAGUCGAGCGAACAGAUGAGAAGCUUGCUUCUCUGAUGUUAGCGGCGGACGGGUGAGUAACACGUGGGUAACCUACCUAUAAGACUGGGAUAACUCCGGGAAACCGGGGCUAAUACCGGAUAAUAUUUUGAACCGCAUGGUUCAAUAGUGAAAGACGGUUUCGGCUGUCACUUAUAGAUGGACCCGCGCCGUAUUAGCUAGUUGGUAAGGUAACGGCUUACCAAGGCGACGAUACGUAGCCGACCUGAGAGGGUGAUCGGCCACACUGGAACUGAGACACGGUCCAGACUCCUACGGGAGGCAGCAGUAGGGAAUCUUCCGCAAUGGGCGAAAGCCUGACGGAGCAACGCCGCGUGAGUGAUGAAGGUCUUCGGAUUGUAAAACUCUGUUGUUAGGGAAGAACAAAUUUGUUAGUAACUGAACAAGUCUUGACGGUACCUAACCAGAAAGCCACGGCUAACUACGUGCCAGCAGCCGCGGUAAUACGUAGGUGGCAAGCGUUAUCCGGAAUUAUUGGGCGUAAAGCGCGCGUAGGCGGUUUCUUAAGUCUGAUGUGAAAGCCCACGGCUCAACCGUGGAGGGUCAUUGGAAACUGGGAAACUUGAGUGCAGAAGAGGAGAGUGGAAUUCCAUGUGUAGCGGUGAAAUGCGCAGAGAUAUGGAGGAACACCAGUGGCGAAGGCGGCUCUCUGGUCUGUAACUGACGCUGAUGUGCGAAAGCGUGGGGAUCAAACAGGAUUAGAUACCCUGGUAGUCCACGCCGUAAACGAUGAGUGCUAAGUGUUAGGGGGUUUCCGCCCCUUAGUGCUGCAGCUAACGCAUUAAGCACUCCGCCUGGGGAGUACGACCGCAAGGUUGAAACUCAAAGGAAUUGACGGGGACCCGCACAAGCGGUGGAGCAUGUGGUUUAAUUCGAAGCAACGCGAAGAACCUUACCAAAUCUUGACAUCCUUUGAUCGCUCUAGAGAUAGAGUCUUCCCCUUCGGGGGACAAAGUGACAGGUGGUGCAUGGUUGUCGUCAGCUCGUGUCGUGAGAUGUUGGGUUAAGUCCCGCAACGAGCGCAACCCUUAAGCUUAGUUGCCAUCAUUAAGUUGGGCACUCUAGGUUGACUGCCGGUGACAAACCGGAGGAAGGUGGGAUGACGUCAAAUCAUCAUGCCCCUUAUGAUUUGGGCUACACACGUGCUACAAUGGAUAAUACAAAGGGCAGCGAACCCGCGAGGCCAAGCAAAUCCCAUAAAAUUAUUCUCAGUUCGGAUUGUAGUCUGCAACUCGACUACAUGAAGCUGGAAUCGCUAGUAAUCGUAGAUCAGCAUGCUACGGUGAAUACGUUCCCGGGUCU